CCCUUAGAUGUCCUGGGCCGCACGCGCGCUACACUGAUGCAUGCAACGAGUUUAUAACCUUGGCCUGAAAGGUCUGGGUAAUCUUUUGAACGUGCAUCGUGAUAGGGAUAGAUUAUUGCAAUUGUUAAUCUUGAACGAGGAAUUCCUAGUAAACGCGAGUCAUCAGCUCGCAUUGAUUACGUCCCUGCCCUUUGUACACACCGCCCGUCGCACCUACCGAUUGAAUGGUUCGGUGAAGAUCUCGGACUUCGAUAUUUAUUCUUUAUUGAGUUUAUAUUGUGGGAAGUUAUCUAAACCUCAUCAUUUAGAGGAAAGUGAAGUCGUAACA
This 328-nucleotide ribosomal RNA is filed under the name uncultured eukaryote. RNAcentral describes it as "partial 18S ribosomal RNA". It matches the Rfam family "Eukaryotic small subunit ribosomal RNA", at positions 1470 to 1796 of the family's 1831-position model. The record is from RNAcentral.